Molecule: ribosomal RNA, 253 nt
Filed under: uncultured bacterium
Lineage: Bacteria
Description: partial 16S ribosomal RNA
Rfam family: Bacterial small subunit ribosomal RNA
Source: RNAcentral
UACGUAGGUGGCAAGCGUUGUCCGGAUUUACUGGGUGUAAAGGGCGUGCAGCCGGGCUGACAAGUCAGAUGUGAAAUCCCGCGGCUCAACCGCGGAACUGCAUUUGAAACUGUCAGUCUUGAGUACCGGAGAGGUCAUCGGAAUUCCUUGUGUAGCGGUGAAAUGCGUAGAUACAAGGAAGAACACCAGUGGCGAAGGCGGAUGACUGGACGGCAACUGACGGUGAGGCGCGAAGGCGUGGGGAGCAAACAGG